Long non-coding RNA from Callorhinus ursinus (northern fur seal), 855 nucleotides. RefSeq lists it as uncharacterized. NCBI's taxonomy places the organism in Eukaryota, Metazoa, Chordata, Mammalia, Carnivora, Otariidae. The record is from RefSeq and is a predicted model, not a curated record.
UUACCUGAGCUCCUGUGGGACAGGCAUCCCGGCGUCCAGACACGGCUCAGCUGUCCUCUGCCUGGUCGUGUCAGGCUGCAGUCAGGGCCAGCAAGAGAGCCUCUCUCCCCGGUCUGCUCAGAUGGAGUCUCAUAGAAGGCAGCCUAACCAUGGGAGUGACCUCCUGUCACCAACAUACAACGUGACCCAACUGCAGGACUGACAUCCUGUCACCUCUGCCAUAUUGUGGUUUUGAAACAAGUCACAGGUGCCGCCUGCAUUUGGGGAGGGCAGCAGUCUCUGUAAUACCACAGUUGGUCUCUUCCCCCACCUCUGGACUCCCCCGCUCUGCCCUGCAAUUUUUUUCAUAGCACAUUCCAGUCUCUGACAUACUAUGUCAUCUCCUUAUUAGUAUGUUUAUCAGGCACAGGCACGCCUGGGAGGGUGAGGGCAGCGGGGCUCCAGACCGACGCAAUGAGGUGCCACCCAAGAGCUGGUGAAGCAAUAUGUGGGGCUGAGCCUAGUGACGCAUAAUUGUAGAGGCUUCCCUGUGAUCCUAAUGGUCACUCAGGUUUCUGGGGCAGCAGAUGGCAGUGGCGCUCAGCCCAAGCUGUUCAUCUGAAACACUGAAGAGCUUAAGAGACUGCUACCCGGAUCCCACCUCGUGGCAGGGGGGUGUGGACACCUAACAUUGGUAUGAUUUAAAAGUGCCCCUAGAUGAUUCUUCUGGGCAUCCGGGGUCGAGAACCGCUGCUCCAGAGCACAGGUGUGGGGACUCACACAGGGGCUCAGUGAAGCUUCAGACGCAGAGCAAGGAGGAGACCCAAGAGUCAGGCCAUCACGUUUCAUAUUCUUCCAAGAAACAUUGGUUCCUUA